This 100-nucleotide transfer RNA is filed under the name Antarctobacter albus. Its description in RNAcentral is "Mameliella alba tRNA-Ser". Lineage: Bacteria; Pseudomonadati; Pseudomonadota; Alphaproteobacteria; Rhodobacterales; Roseobacteraceae. The record is from RNAcentral.
GCCGUCGGCCAGGCCGGAGAGGUCAAGGCCCGUAACCUGCUGGGUCGCGCUGGUGAUCGUGCCGGACCCGGUGACCGGCGUGCCGCCGCCAUCGGAGGUG